GCUAUUCCGUUAAAUCCUGAGCUAGUUUAGUACUAUUAUUAUUGAAAGUCUAGUUUCGAAACAUGAUCCGUCUUUGUGAAUCGAGUAUGUUUGAAAGUCUUGGUUGCUUAUUAUUAAUUUGAUUGUUAAACUGGAAAUAGGAUAAUAGAGGAUUCAACGAUUGUGUGAAAUGAUUGAUGUUAAAGACUGUUAUAUAUAUGUAUAUAUCUAGUUAUAUAGUAAGGACUAUGUGGUGAGUGCGGGGGCCCAGAGUGAUUUGGGCUAGCGACGCAUAUGAGUACGGGGGCCCAGAGAAAUCUGAGCUAGCGACGUAUAGAGUGCGGGGGCACAGAGACAUCUGAGCUAGCGACGCAUAGUGGAUGAGUACGGGGGCCCAGAGACGUCUGAGCUAGCGACGUAUAUUGUGUGGUGCGGGGUGCAGAGACGUUUGCAUAUCGACGCAUAUUGGUGGAGUGCGGGGGUCCAGAGAUGUCUGGACUAUCGACGCAUAUUAUGAUAUCGUAUAUCCGUAUGAGGAGAACGCAGGGUGUGUGGACUAGCUAUGUACCAUCAGCGUAUUGUUUGUUUUGUGUGAUGUGCUAGGCAUCUUGUCUGUUCAUGCUAGAGCUACUCUUACAUAGUCGUAGUGCUAUGUACUGAGUCUGUGGUUUGCGGGUUAGCAUCCCAUACCUCACUGAGUGACUCCCCUGUUGCUCAUCCCUCUUUCUUUUCUCUUUCAGGUGAGCCUGGCAGACAGGAGUGAUUGCUUUCGGAUUGGUGCUUUUGGGCGUUUUCUUUAUUUCUAUUCCAGAUUUUCGGUUUUGUGCUUUACCGAGAUUUUUAGAUUUAUUAUACUAUUUGAAUUUAAUGCUAUUUAUUGGAUUUAUGGAGAUUUGAGAUUAUUUAUGUGGAGUAAUAAAUGGAGAUUUCAGGAUUAUUUCUUUAUUUAUUAUUUAUUAUUAUUAUUAUAUAUUUUGGAAAAUCGGGGUAUUACAAUUUGGUAUCAGAGCGGGGUUCCGUCCUGGCUCUGACCCGGGACGGCGAUUUAUGGGACUCGGAUUUCAGUGAUUUUUCAAUGUUUUGGGAUUGGGAGUUUUUGAAAAAAAAAUGCACCCUUCUGCCGAGCAUCAUUCGGUUAGUCAUUAGAGAUUUUGAUUUUCUUUUCUUCUGCAGGUGAAGACCAAGUUUCUUUCGUUUCCAUCGUCUAUUACCUUUUAUCUUUCUUUUCUUCGAAGCUGUGGACGUUCUUUCUUCAUCUCUUUGGAAUUCGGGACGAAUUCUGAUUAAGUGGGGGAGAAUUGUAACGACCCGGAUCUUAGGAGUAAGGCCCAUUUGUUUUAUUUUAAUCAAAACCCAUUCCUUUUUAUUUUUGUCCCACAUUGGAAGUUUGAGCUUCAUACCUCACUUCCCUUCUCCUAUAUAAUAGACUCCUCUUCUUCUCUUUAUUCUCAUCAAGUCAAAGUAUUUCUUUGCGCGUGACAAAUUGUUGUUAAAUUAUUCAACGACCAGUCACUAGUUAAUUUUUCCGGUGAGAUUUCCGGCGAGCUUCCGGCGGGAUUUUUGGACGAGCUUCCGGCGGCAUUUCUGGGCGAGCUUCCGGUGGGUUUUUCUAGUGAGCCUGGCAGACAGGAGUGAUUGCUUUCGGAUUGGUGCUUUUGGGCGUUUUCUUUAUUUCUAUUCCAGAUUUUCGGUUUUGUGCUUUACCGAGAUUUUUAGAUUUAUUAUACUAUUUGAAUUUAAUGCUAUUUAUUGGAUUUAUGGAGAUUUGAGAUUAUUUAUGUGGAGUAAUAAAUGGAGAUUUCAGGAUUAUU
Long non-coding RNA from Raphanus sativus (radish), 1790 nucleotides. RefSeq lists it as uncharacterized. The transcript is spliced from 2 exons. The record is from RefSeq and is a predicted model, not a curated record. NCBI's taxonomy places the organism in Eukaryota, Viridiplantae, Streptophyta, Magnoliopsida, Brassicales, Brassicaceae.